Molecule: ribosomal RNA, 497 nt
Filed under: uncultured bacterium
Lineage: Bacteria
Description: partial 16S ribosomal RNA
Rfam family: Bacterial small subunit ribosomal RNA
Source: RNAcentral
GACGAACGCUGGCGGCGUGCCUAAUACAUGCAAGUAGAACGCUGAAGAGAGGAGCUUGCUCUUCUUGGAUGAGUUGCGAACGGGUGAGUAACGCGUAGGUAACCUGCCUUGUAGCGGGGGAUAACUAUUGGAAACGAUAGCUAAUACCGCAUAACAAUGGAUGACACAUGUCAUUUAUUUGAAAGGGGCAAUUGCUCCACUACAAGAUGGACCUGCGUUGUAUUAGCUAGUAGGUGAGGUAAUGGCUCACCUAGGCGACGAUACAUAGCCGACCUGAGAGGGUGAUCGGCCACACUGGGACUGAGACACGGCCCAGACUCCUACGGGAGGCAGCAGUAGGGAAUCUUCGGCUAUGGGGGCAACCCUGACCGAGCAACGCCGCGUGAGUGAAGAAGGUUUUCGGAUCGUAAAGCUCUGUUGUAAGUCAAGAACGGGUGUGAGAGUGGAAAGUUCACACUGUGACGGUAGCUUACCAGAAAGGGACGGCUAACUACGUG